This 253-nucleotide ribosomal RNA is filed under the name uncultured bacterium. RNAcentral describes it as "partial 16S ribosomal RNA". It matches the Rfam family "Bacterial small subunit ribosomal RNA", at positions 524 to 776 of the family's 1533-position model. The record is from RNAcentral.
UACGAAGGGUGCAAGCGUUACUCGGAAUUACUGGGCGUAAAGCGUGCGUAGGUGGUUCGUUAAGUCUGAUGUGAAAGCCCUGGGCUCAACCUGGGAAUGGCAUUGGAAACUGGCGACCUAGAGUGCGGUAGAGGGUAGUGGAAUUCCCGGUGUAGCAGUGAAAUGCGUAGAGAUCGGGAGGAACAUCUGUGGCGAAGGCGACUGCCUGGACCAGCACUGACACUGAGGCACGAAAGCGUGGGGAGCAAGCAGG